This 87-nucleotide transfer RNA is filed under the name Candidatus Regiella insecticola. Its description in RNAcentral is "tRNA-Leu". It matches the Rfam family "tRNA". From Rfam's summary of the family: Transfer RNA (tRNA) molecules are approximately 80 nucleotides in length. Their secondary structure includes four short double-helical elements and three loops (D, anti-codon, and T loops). Lineage: Bacteria; Pseudomonadati; Pseudomonadota; Gammaproteobacteria; Enterobacterales; Enterobacteriaceae. The record is from RNAcentral.
GCCCGGGUGGUGAAAUCGGUAGACACAAGGGAUUUAAAAUCCCUCGGCCUUAAGGCUGUGCGGGUUCAAGUCCCGCCCCGGGCACCA